CUGUUCCUCCCCGCCGCCUUCCCGGUCCAACGAAAGUACAGAGAAGUGCGGCCGAAAGGAGACGGGCUGGGGAAGUCGUUGGCACUAGGAUGGAAGGAGGGAGGACGUUUUCUCGUGGCUAAGAAAAGCCGAAGAUGGAAAAUCGCCGGCUGCUGUGGAAACGCUUGCCUUUCCGCCUGGUUUGGGAUAUCAGAGAAGGUUUUUCUGAAGAAGUGACAUUUAAGAUGAGACUUGAAACCACUGGGCAAAGAAUGAUACAAGCAGAGGAAGUUAUGUGAAAAGGCUCCGAAGCUGAGACGUUCUAAAAAUCUCUGAAAGCUAGUGUGGCUGGCCCUCAGACAACUGAGGCAGGAUGUGGAAGCAGAGGACAGAUGCCAUAGAACAGAAGAAGGAAUGGGAAGCCCUAGGAGGAUUUCAAGUGGGUUGUAUCCUUUUUUUUUCUUUUUUUCACUUCAUGUAGCCUAUUAUUAUAUGGUCUUCAUUCAAAAAAGCCACCAUUUUUCUGCAUGUUACUCUUGAGACUGUAGCAUUUCUGCAUAAUACUAUUGAGAGUGUAACAUAAUUCCAUUGUUAGACCAUGAAAUUGCUUCUGAUUUUCACUCCAAUAAGAAUAAUGCAAAUUCCACUCCUAAAUAUAUACCCAAGAGAAAGGAAAAUAUUUGUCCAUGCAAAAACUUUUUUACAAACGUUAGCAUUAUUCAUAAUAGCCAAAGAUGAAACAACCUAAAUGUUCAUCAGCUGGCGCCUGUAUAAAUCAAAUGUGAUACAUCUAUGUACAAUCAAAUUUUUAUUUUUAAGAGAUGGGGUCUGGCUCCGUGGCGCAGAUGGGGGUGCCAUGAGACUUCCUAUGUUGUCCAGGCUGGUCUCAAACUCCUGGCCUCUAGCAAUUCUCCCUCCUUAGCCUGAAAGUGAUGGGAUUACAGGCAUGAGCCGUCACACCGACCUAUACAAUGGAAUCUUAUUGGGCCAUAAAAAGAAAAUACUAAUACAUGCUAUAACAUGCAUAACCUUUGAAAGCAGUAUGCUAAAUGAAAGAAGCCAGUCACAAAAGACCACAUAUUAUAUGAUUCCACUUACGUGAAUGUCCAGAAUAGGCAAAUAUAUAGAGACAGAAAGUAAGGAAGUGGUUGCUUAGGGCUAGGGGCAGGCAUGGGAUUAGGGGAUGAUAGUUAAAUGAUAUGGGGGUUUCUUUCUUUUUUUCUUUUCUUUUUUUCUUUUUUUUUUUUUUGGAAACAGGGCCUUGCUCUGUCCCCCAGGCUGCAGGCUGGAGUGCAAUGGUGUGAACAUGACUCACUGUAGCCUUGACCUCCAGGAUCAAGCAAUCCUCCUGCCUCAGCCUCCUGUGUAGCUGGAACCACAGGCGCAUGCCUCCAUGCCCAACUGAUUUUUUGAAGGUUUCUUUUUGAGGUGAGAAAAAUGUUCUGAGAUUGAUUGUGUUGAUGGUUGCGCAACUGUGAAUAUUUAGGUUGAGUAUUAUCCAAAAUAUUUGAGACCAGAAGUAUUUUGAAUUUUAAACUUUUUUUUCAGUUUUGGAAAUGUUUGCAUUAAAUUAUAUACUUACUGGUUGAGCAACCUAGUCUGAAAAUCCAAAAUGAGCAUUUCCUCUGAGUGUCAUGUUGGCACUCAAAAAGCUUUGGAUUUUGGAGCAUUUCAGAUUUUUGUAUCAGGG
Molecule: long non-coding RNA, 1669 nt
Filed under: Homo sapiens (human)
Lineage: Eukaryota; Metazoa; Chordata; Mammalia; Primates; Hominidae
Description: non-protein coding lnc-SEPT11-2:2
Source: RNAcentral